ACCAGUGUCGUUUCUUGGCGAGAUUUUUUGCCCUCCUACAUUGAUUCUAUACUUUGUCUCCAGGGCAGAGCCAGCGUAGAUCAAAGACGUGUAAUGUAGAUUGGUUGGAAUGAAAAGUAUCUCAAUUCCAUUGAUGAAAGCAUAGGAGUUUGGUUGAGACGGGAUAUGAUGAAGCUGAGGUCCAGCCUCUCACUAAUGAUUGCCACAUAUUCUCUGAAAAUGGUUUCUAUGUUUUCUGCAUCAGCGGUUAGAGAGGCAUUGAAACAGUAGAUGAGUGUAAUUUCAUUGAAUUGAACCAUGAAGGAUGUGUUGAUACGGGGAAAGGAUGGGUCGUAAGAAGUAGGGUGGAAGAACAUGCAAAGAAACUUGGGACCAGUAGUGACGAGGAAGGAGUAGUUGAGCUGGGAACGGGACAAGCAUUUUAGUUCCUUGGACCGGUUAGUCCUUCAUACUCAUGCCCAAAAUAAUCUCCUAUUGCAUUGUGUCACUAACAUUUUAGUCUUUUUCAAAGGGGCUAAUAAUAAAUGAAUUUUUUUUAUUAAUGAACAAACACAAAAUUUGUUAAUUUAUCAAGAAUUAAAAAAAAGUGUCAAUGACCAAAAGCAAAACUUUUGUUUAAUCAGGGAGCAAAAUGGAAUUUUUUUAAGCUUAAAUAUGUUUUUGGUCCCUAAUAUAUGCCCGUUUUUGGCAUCUGGUCCCUAAUAAUUUUUUCCUUCAAAUCAAGUCCCUAAUAUUUUUAAAGUUUUGUCUAAGGUCUCUGUCGUUAGUCGGGAUCCAUUAUCUGCUUGCGUGAUCAUUAACCGAACAUGUAGGCAUGUGACGUGUGGUGUCACAUGUACUCGUUGCCUGAGUGGAAUUACAUGUAGGAAAAAGUUUUUUUUUUAAUUAAAAAUGACACCGUUUCUGCAAGCUACUUCUUCCUCUUUUCUACAACUUCUCCACGCCCCACUACCACCAUUGAACAACGACCUACACCACUAAACCUCGAAUUGUGACACCAGCACAUCACCACGGCGUGAACACAGUGCACGAACACCACCAUCGUGCCCUCGUUCACGUGCGUGAACACGGUGUUGCAACUCGCAACCACCAUCUCCAUCCUUCUUCAGAUCUGGUUCACCAUCACCACACCAUUGCCUCCUUCGUCCCUAGAGAUCACCAUAGCCUCCAACAUCACAAUGCCCACCCAGAUCAAUCCCACCACCAAAUCAUCUAGUUUUCACUCAUUCUCCGUGUUCGCGAAAAAAGUCAUAACCCACCUCUGCAACUCAAGAACACACCUUCACCCGAGUCACAUCCCCAAGUUUGCUCGCUCUGACUCAGAUCCCAUUCUCAGGAAGCAGAGAUCCAUCAUAGAGAACCACUCUUCUACUGCCAACAAGUGCCCUUCCCUCGGCUUCUCCUGACAUAACUUUGAUGCCGCCAGAGAUCGAAGUGGAUGGAAGGAUAUAUGGGGAUGAUGAAGAGAUUUUUGCCAACAAAACCUCUCGUAGUGGAAGACGACAUCGUAUUGGUGGUGGUGGAAUGACGAAACGGAAGAUUGAAGAAAUUCCAGACCUUAGGUUCGGAGUGAGGCUUGGGGUCAGCUACGAACAUGAUCUCUCUCUCUCUCUCUCUCCUGUUUGGGAAACAACAACGUCUUUUGGUGUUUCUUUUUUAUUUUAUUUGUGAAAGUGGUGUUGCAGACACGGAUAUGAUGGGGGAUUAUGAACUGCAAUGGAGAAAAGAGUUUCAAGUCCACGCGUUUUUGGUUCUUCCUACGUGUAAUCCCAAUCAGCCAAUGAGUACAUGUGGUAGCACAUGUCGCAUGCCAAUGUGUUUGGUUAACAACCACGUAAGUAAAUAACGGAUUCCGACUAACGGUAGAGACCUCAAACAAAACUUUUAAAAUAUUAGGGACCUGAUUCGAAGGAAAAAUUUAUUAGGGACCAAAUGCCAAAAACAGGUGACCAAAAACAUAUUUAAGCCUUUUUUUAUUAGGGAACAAACAAAAAAUUUGGGUAUUUAUUAGGAAUCACAAACAUAUUUUAAUUUGGUUAUCUAGUUGCAACCACAUCUGUCUAAGAUAAAAUGUAACUUUGACGAGGCUUCAAAAGGUAAUCUAGGCCUUGCUUCUAAUGGAGGCAUAUUUCAAAACUCAAAUGGAGGUUUUUAUUGUGGAUUCGUAGUUCCUCUUGGCAUUUCCUCCUCUUUGCUGGCCGAGCUUCUUGCAGCUGUUACUGCCAUUGAGUUUGCACAUGCUAAAGGGUGGAGGAACCUCUGGCUGUAAUAUGACUCAUCUGCUAUCCUUGAAGCCUUUGAAUGUUCAGAAGUCGUUCCUUGUUGGAAUUUCUUAAACAGGUGAAAUAAUUGUGUUCAUCUAACGACUAACAUGAAUUUUAGAAUCUCACAUUUAUGAAGAAGGUAACUCUAGUGCAGACAAGCUUGCUAACUUUGGUGUGUUUUACCCCUCUUUUUGUUGGAGGAAUUUGCCUCCCCCUUUCAUUUUGAAUGAUGUUGAUAGAGAUAGCUCCAAAUUUCCUUUUUACAGGUUUAAAUGAUUGUGGUUUCAUCCGCCUUCCAUGGAUUCGGUUUGGCUCCCCAUGGUUUUGUGUCUUGUUUUCUUUGAUAUAUCUCAUGAUUGGGGUUUUUUUUAGUUGUUUAGGGGUAUUAGUGCCAACCUAGUUGGGAUAGUUCCACUUCCUAGCUAUUGCUUCUCAUAUUUAUUAAAAAAAAUACAACUUAAGUUAUUAUACCAUCAAAGGAAAAAUAUAAUUAUAAGAAGAAAUCUUGGACUCUUAUAUAAGUGUGUGUGCACGCGCU
This 2802-nucleotide long non-coding RNA is filed under the name Glycine max (soybean). RNAcentral describes it as "long non-coding RNA (GMAX_LNC004294)". Lineage: Eukaryota; Viridiplantae; Streptophyta; Magnoliopsida; Fabales; Fabaceae. The record is from RNAcentral.